GCUUGAAUGAUGAUUUUAAUUUGAUCGGAUUUCCCUUCACUCGCCCUCCAAUGAGUGACAUCCCUCUUCUGACAAGC
Small nucleolar RNA from Syngnathus typhle (broad-nosed pipefish), 77 nucleotides. RefSeq annotates it as small nucleolar RNA SNORD101. The record is from RefSeq and is a predicted model, not a curated record. Lineage: Eukaryota; Metazoa; Chordata; Actinopteri; Syngnathiformes; Syngnathidae. The transcript has a single exon.